GACGAACGCUGGCGGCGUGCUUAACACAUGCAAGUCGAACAGUGGCGAACGGGUGAGUAACACGUGAGUAACCUGCCCUCCACUUUGGGCUAACUCCGAGAAAUCGGGGCUAAUACUGGAUAGUGGGGGAUGGGCUCGCGGCCUAUCGGUUUGUUGGUGAGGUAGUGGUCACCAGGGCGUGACGGGUAGCCGGCCUGGGAGGGCGACCGGCCACAAGGGGACUGAGGCACGGACCAGUGUCCUACGGGGGGCAGCAGGGGGGAACAUUGCACAAUGGGGGAAAGCCUGAGGCGGCGACGCCGGGUGGGGGAUGACGGCCUUCGGGUUGUAAACCUCUUUAAGCAAGGAAGCGGUACUUGCAGAAGAAGCGCCGGCUAACUACGUGCCAGCCGCCGCGGUAAUAC
RNAcentral lists this ribosomal RNA (404 nucleotides) under uncultured bacterium. RNAcentral describes it as "partial 16S ribosomal RNA". It matches the Rfam family "Bacterial small subunit ribosomal RNA", at positions 28 to 526 of the family's 1533-position model. The record is from RNAcentral.